UACGUAGGGGGCUAGCGUUGUUCGGAAUCACUGGGCGUAAAGCGCACGCAGGCGGAUCGAUAAGUCGGGGGUGAAAGCCCGGGGCUUAACCUCGGAAGUGCCUCCGAUACUGCCGGUCUCGAGGCCGGGAGAGGUGAGUGGAAUUCCUAGUGUAGAGGUGAAAUUCGUAGAUAUUAGGAAGAACACCAGUGGCGAAGGCGGCUCACUGGCCCGGUCCUGACGCUCAGGUGCGAAAGCGUGGGGAGCAAACAGG
This 253-nucleotide ribosomal RNA is filed under the name uncultured bacterium. Its description in RNAcentral is "partial 16S ribosomal RNA". It matches the Rfam family "Bacterial small subunit ribosomal RNA", at positions 524 to 776 of the family's 1533-position model. The record is from RNAcentral.